AUACGGAGGGUGCAAGCGUUGUUCGGAUUUACUGGGCGUAAAGCGCGCGCAGGCGGAUAAGCAAGUCAGAUGUGAAAUCCCGGGGCUUAACCUCGGAACUGCGUCUGAAACUGCUAAUCUAGAGUCUCACAGGGGGUAGGGGAAUUUCACGUGUAGGGGUAAAAUCCGUAGAGAUGUGAAGGAACACCGGUGGCGAAGGCGCCUACCUGGAUGAGUACUGACGCUGAGGCGCGAAAGCGUGGGGAGCAAACAGGAUUAGAUACCCUGGUAGUCCACGCCGUAAACGAUGAGUACUAGCUCUUAGGGGUAUUGACCCCCUUAGGGGCGCAGCUAACGCAUUAAGUACUCCGCCUGGGAAGUACGGUCGCAAGACUAAA
This 377-nucleotide ribosomal RNA is filed under the name uncultured Bacteriovoracaceae bacterium. RNAcentral describes it as "bacterial SSU rRNA". It matches the Rfam family "Bacterial small subunit ribosomal RNA", at positions 523 to 898 of the family's 1533-position model. Lineage: Bacteria; Pseudomonadati; Bdellovibrionota; Bacteriovoracia; Bacteriovoracales; Bacteriovoracaceae. The record is from RNAcentral.